Long non-coding RNA from Zingiber officinale, 2428 nucleotides. RefSeq lists it as uncharacterized. The record is from RefSeq and is a predicted model, not a curated record. The transcript has 2 exons. Lineage: Eukaryota; Viridiplantae; Streptophyta; Magnoliopsida; Zingiberales; Zingiberaceae.
CGAGAAAUGGGGAGGCAUUUUCAUCGGCGACAAGCGGGAGACGGAUGUGACGGUUCGAGCGGAGAGCUUCGGGCGGAGGCGGAGGGGGGCUGGUGUGCGUGAUUCCGGCGAAGGAGAGGCAAGUAUCUUCCUUAGUAGUGGCAGAUAGAACUGCUGGGUGAUUUCUGUUUCAUGUUUAGUCUAAGCGAUCGCGGGAGAUUUUUGUGUUCUAAAUCUGGAAGUAAUUUAACGAUCUGAAGAUUCUAUAAGUUAAUUUGAUGAUUUCUGGUUUGAGGAUCAUGGAUUUUCGUCGGAGAUUGAUUUAUGUUCCCUAUUCCUCUCUCAACUGGUAACCCUAGCUUCGUCCACCGUUUUCGGUAGGUUCAAUGGGGUAUCUGGUGAUGUUUUCACUUGUGUGUUCUGAGUUGAUUGAGUAUGCCGUUCUUGCAUGAUCUAUAUUGUUCUUGUGGUGUGAUUUGAGUCGUUUGGGUAUUCUGUUCUUGCACUAUUUAUUUUGAUCUUCAGGGUGAUCUUAGUUUUCUGGAUAUCUUGUUCUUGCAUGAUCUAUUUGGUUCUUGUGUAUCCGGUGUAGAAUUUGAGAUGGGUUCCAGAGGUGUGUGUGUUCUUUUCUUCCUCGUUGUUCAAUGCUGUUAUGGAUUUCUAGUGGAAUUUAUUGUUUGUUCUUCAUUGAAUUUGGAGAGAGUUUAGUUUUAUGUUAUCUGUCAAAUCCAUUUACAUUAGUUCUUCUUGUAUAUGUAUGUAGUUACAUGUUCUGUUUGGGUAGAAGGAUUGAAUGAGGAAGAGGAGUUAAUCGAAAUCUGGAAUUUUUGGGAUUAAGAACUUGGGCUUGCAUUAUUUCUGGUUUUUAUUCUUUUUGUACUCAUUAAAUAUUAGAUUGGUUUAAACUAAUUGUUGAAUCUUGUAUAAGAAUUAAAUUAAAAUUCAGAUUCUAAUAUUGUGGAGAAUGGUGGUGGAAUAUGACAUUUAUUGCGAUCCUAUCGUUUGGAUUGUGUUUCAAUGGUUUGUACUUGGAGAGGGGUAGGUGGUAACUGUUUUCUCUAUCUAUUUAUCAUCACAAUUUGGAUCACUGCAGUAUGUGUUUAUCUUUAGAAGUGUUACCUGUAUUUGCUUGCACAUGUGUAGCUUAAGAUUAGUUGUUUCAAUGAAUGUUAAAGCUUUAGGCCCUGGUGGUUUCCAGAAUAAACUUAAUGAAUAGUGUGAUGGGAUGUGAUUUAGUUGUGAAUUUUAUUGAUAUUUUAUAUAAUUAAAGGAUAUCUGAUCUUGGGAUUUUGGUUUUUGGUUUUGUGAGGUUUGUAUGAUUAAUUGAGCUGUUUCCAGUGUUUCUUUAGUCUGUAGAAACAGAGCAUGUCUUACUGAAUCUGACUCAUAUGAUUUGGUAAAUUGGCAUCAUGUGGUGAUUGGUUUACUUCAUAUUAUAAUUGUUUAUGUAGUUCUAUUUGCUUCCGUUCCGGACCUAAGUUUUCAGAUAUGGGAUUCUAUGUGGUAUGUUCAUAAUUGUGUUCGUUUAUGUUGUACUAUACAUGGCUGAUAUAAGAGUUCUCUAGUUGUAGGAACCAGACCUGUUCUAGUCAAUUAUAAUGUACCAUUGGUUGAUGUAUAGGUAAGUGUUUAUAAGAGUUCUCUAGCUGUAGGAACCGGACAUCUACUUGUCAAUUAUAAUGUACCAUUGGUUGAUGUAUAGGUAAGUGUUUAUAAGAGUUCUCAAGAUGUAGGAACAGGACAUGUACUAGUCAAUUAUAAUGUACCAUUGGUUGAUGUAUAGGUAAGUGUUUAAGAAUGAAUUAUGUUCUCAGAUGGUUACUUUACAAUUGCUGUGAUUGCAACAUGUUAUAGUACAAGCUGUCUCUGUAAUGGUAGGGUUUAAUAGAUUAUGGAAGAUAAGUGUGAAUAGUGAUAGAACUGAAAUGUUAUAAAUAGGACGUGUGGACCUUUCCAAGUAAAGGGUAAUUAGAUAAAUAUGGGCCUUAGGUGGUGCCGAUACGGCUUGGGUUUCUUGGGAUGAGCUCCAGAGGGCUCUUCCAAAUAUGACCGAGGACCGAGGACCGAGGACCGAGGACCGAGGACCGAGGACUGAGGACUGAGGACAUUCACCACGGUUAGGGAGUGGUAUUGAGACGGAGAUAGAAGACGCGAAGGCGGAGUGAUCUUGAGGAGAAGAUGGGAUGCAAACAAAACACACUGUUCCCGAUUGUUAUACUUAUUAUUCAAUUGGAACUAGUAAUUGUAACAAGGAUGAAGACGUUUUGUAAAUAAAAAUUCAUUGCAAUAUUUAACUUGUAAAUUCUAGUUAUAGGUUGUUUCAGUUGGUAUUAGAGCAAUCGCUCCUGAAAGGUAGUGUGUGCAUUGAAUUCUAACUUCAACUCGGACACGGCCGCCUUCAAGUCUGUAAGAUUUAUUCUUGCACAUACCUGAAUUAUUGUUGUGGUUA